AUUGAACGCUGGCGGCAUGCCUUACACAUGCAAGUCGAACGGCAGCGGACCUUCGGGUGCCGGCGAGUGGCGAACGGGUGAGUAAUAUAUCGGAACGUACCUUUCAGUGGGGGAGUAACGUAGCGAAAGUUACGCUAAUACCGCAUAUUCUGUGAGCAGGAAAGCAGGGGAUCGCAAGACCUUGCGCUGAUUGAGCGGCCGAUAUCAGAUUAGCUAGUUGGUGAGGUAAAGGCUCACCAAGGCGACGAUCUGUAGCGGGUCUGAGAGGAUGAUCCGCCACACUGGAACUGAGACACGGUCCAGACUCCUACGGGAGGCAGCAGUGGGGAAUUUUGGACAAUGGGCGCAAGCCUGAUCCAGCCAUGCCGCGUGAGUGAAGAAGGCC
RNAcentral lists this ribosomal RNA (385 nucleotides) under uncultured bacterium. RNAcentral describes it as "bacterial SSU rRNA". It matches the Rfam family "Bacterial small subunit ribosomal RNA", at positions 30 to 416 of the family's 1533-position model. The record is from RNAcentral.